GUACAUUUCACUUUAUCGGCUGCUGGAUAUUUUGAAUUCCUUUGGGUUUUUAUCGGCUUGGUUUAGAAUGCAGCAGUUCACCUGGAGUCGGUUUGGGUCUUCUGAGGCUUGCUUCUAAACUUUGACACAACAGCUCUUCACUGAGGGCUAAUUCGGCCCCAGCGAGGCCAUGUUUCUGAGAACUGGGCCCAGCGUCCCAGGUUUAUGCACAGUGAAGUAAAGUAAGUUGCCCAAAGCCAUAUGGCAAUUAAAACAUGAACUCUAAGCCUGUCUAACUCAUCUCUGACUGCCCUGCGCCUAAGUAAUGAGUGAGGCACAGUACUCAAUGCUGAAUAACGUCGUGUUGCUGGAAUAGACAUAAAAAAUGUAGCUGCCUCACUAUGAACACUAGAUGGCACUGUAGGCUCAGCCACGCUGGCCUGUCGGAGAGGCAAGGUGAGCCGGGCCAGGUCAGGACGCAACUUCCAGCAUGGUUGACUGAAAGUGAAGUGAGAAAAUGCAGAUUUCUUUGGGGCUUUGUUUUUCUAUUUUAAAACGGGAAGGUUAAUUCUGUAACUUACUUUCAAAGAUGUAAUGGGAACGAAGUUGGGAAUAAAAUUCUUCAUGAAGAUUUUGCAUGUCUCAGUGAGCGGAUCUGAUAGCAUUAAUGAAAUUAUUUCGGUCAUGCACAGUAGGAGGGCCCAGGACAGAGAACGAUGACAUGGAAUCCUCUUUCCUUAAGAUAACAGACUCUCACCUGCCUCCUUACCUCCAUCCAGGAUUAUAAAAAACUUCCAAAGUAGGCUUUUUAGCGUCCACGUGCACAAUUGUAGCCUCUCCCAUCUGAUUUGUUUCCUUUUCCAGUAACCCGCAGCUCUCACUGUCAAAGGUCUGCAUGUAAGAAUGGAGAAUAACUGUGUGAUCUUACAAAGACCUCUGAAGAUAGUCAUCAGCCCCACCCCUGAGCCUUAUUUGUCUGAAUGGUUCUGUGAUCUCUUGUCAGAGCUCUUUCCCAUGAUUUUCAAUAAAUCUGGUGCUUCUCUGAACAGUCUCCUUGAGCCCUGUGUGUGUCUCCCAGUACUACAGCAGUCCUUUAACAAGCAUGUGCUGUCCACUGCUCAUGGCCAGCUUGGGUCUGCUACAGUCACAGAAUCCAU
RNAcentral lists this long non-coding RNA (1136 nucleotides) under Equus asinus (donkey). Its description in RNAcentral is "lncRNA (ENSEASG00005028898.1)". Lineage: Eukaryota; Metazoa; Chordata; Mammalia; Perissodactyla; Equidae. The record is from RNAcentral.